This 60-nucleotide ribosomal RNA is filed under the name Candida albicans. RNAcentral's name for it is "partial 28S ribosomal RNA". The record is from RNAcentral. Lineage: Eukaryota; Fungi; Ascomycota; Pichiomycetes; Serinales; Debaryomycetaceae.
UUUGACCUCAAAUCAGGUAGGACUACCCGCUGAACUUAAGCAUAUCAAUAAGCCGGAGGA